RNAcentral lists this unclassified non-coding RNA (382 nucleotides) under uncultured Pseudobdellovibrionaceae bacterium. Its description in RNAcentral is "uncultured Bdellovibrionaceae bacterium contains 16S-23S intergenic spacer region". The record is from RNAcentral. Lineage: Bacteria; Pseudomonadati; Bdellovibrionota; Bdellovibrionia; Bdellovibrionales; Pseudobdellovibrionaceae.
UCCAGCUUAACGCUGGCAGUCCCCUUAGAGUGCCCAACUUAAUGCUGGCAACAAAGGGCGUGGGUUGCGCUCGUUGCGGGACUUAACCCAACAUCUCACGACACGAGCUGACGACAGCCAUGCAGCACCUGUACAUCGGUCCCCUUGCGGGGAAAGGCCGCUUUCACGGACCGGUCCAAUGUAUGUCAAGACCAGGAUAAGGUUCUUCGCGUUGCGUCGAAUUGAACCACAUGCUCCACUGCUUGUGCGGGUCCCCGUCAAUUUCUUUGAGUUUUAAUCUUGCGACCGUACUCCCCAGGCGGGAUGCUUAACGCGUUAGCUCCGCUACUGAAAGGGUUAACACUUCCAACAGCAAGCAUCCAUCGUUUACGGCGUGGACUAC